AUUGAACGCUGGCGGCAGGCCUAACACAUGCAAGUCGAACGAGUGGCGGACGGGUGAGUAAUGUCUGGGAAACUGCCUGAUGGAGGGGGAUAACUACUGGAAACGGUAGCUAAUACCGCAUACCAUCAGAUGUGCCCAGAUGGGAUUAGCUAGUAGGUGGGGUAACGGCUCACCUAGGCGACGAUCCCUAGCUGGUCUGAGAGGAUGACCAGCCACACUGGAACCGAGACACGGUCCAGAAUCCUACGGGAGGGAGGAGGUGGGAAUAUUGCACAAUGGGGGCAAGCCUGAUGGAGCCAGGCCGCGUGUAUGAAGAAGGCCUUCGGGUUGUAAAGUACUUUCAGCGGGGAAGCGUUACCCGCAGAAGAAGCACCGGCUAACUCCGUGCCAGCAGCCGCGGUAAUAC
RNAcentral lists this ribosomal RNA (406 nucleotides) under uncultured bacterium. RNAcentral describes it as "partial 16S ribosomal RNA". It matches the Rfam family "Bacterial small subunit ribosomal RNA", at positions 30 to 526 of the family's 1533-position model. The record is from RNAcentral.